Molecule: ribosomal RNA, 157 nt
Filed under: Boehmeria longispica
Lineage: Eukaryota; Viridiplantae; Streptophyta; Magnoliopsida; Rosales; Urticaceae
Also listed under: 3 other names
Description: 5.8S ribosomal RNA
Rfam family: 5.8S ribosomal RNA (bases 24-157)
About the family: 5.8S ribosomal RNA (5.8S rRNA) is a component of the large subunit of the eukaryotic ribosome.
Source: RNAcentral
CUAUUUUAUUAGAGCGUCGCAAUGACUCUCGGCAACGGAUAUCUCGGCUCUCGCAUCGAUGAAGAACGUAGCGAAAUGCGAUACUUGGUGUGAAUUGCAGAAUCCCGUGAACCAUCGAGUCUUUGAACGCAAGUUGCGCCCGAAGCCUUUCGGCCGA